Molecule: ribosomal RNA, 272 nt
Filed under: Phelsuma seippi
Lineage: Eukaryota; Metazoa; Chordata; Lepidosauria; Squamata; Gekkonidae
Description: partial large subunit ribosomal RNA
Rfam family: Bacterial large subunit ribosomal RNA
Source: RNAcentral
AAUUUUUAAGUUGGGGUGACUGUGGAGUAAAAAAGACCCUCCAUACAAAACGACUAAACAUCGUAACAACAGGCCAACAAGCCCAAUAAAAAACACUUUGACCCAGUCAAACUGAUUAUUGAACCAAGUUACCCCAGGGAUAACAGCGCUAUCCCCUUAAAGAGUUCACAUCGCCAAGGGGGUUUACGACCUCGAUGUUGGAUCAGGACUUCCCAGUGGUGAAGCCGCUACUAAAGGUUCGUUUGUUCAACGAAUAAUGUCCUACGUGAUCU